RNAcentral lists this ribosomal RNA (1347 nucleotides) under uncultured bacterium. RNAcentral's name for it is "partial 16S ribosomal RNA". It matches the Rfam family "Bacterial small subunit ribosomal RNA", at positions 28 to 1381 of the family's 1533-position model. The record is from RNAcentral.
GACGAACGCUGGCGGCGUGCUUAACACAUGCAAGUCGAACGGAAAGGCCCUGCUUUUGUGGGGUGCUCGAGUGGCGAACGGGUGAGUAACACGUGAGUAACCUGCCCUUGACUUUGGGAUAACUUCAGGAAACUGGGGCUAAUACCGGAUAGGAGCUCCUGCUGCAUGGUGGGGGUUGGAAAGUUUCGGCGGUUGGGGAUGGACUCGCGGCUUAUCAGCUUGUUGGUGGGGUAGUGGCUUACCAAGGCUUUGACGGGUAGCCGGCCUGAGAGGGUGACCGGCCACAUUGGGACUGAGAUACGGCCCAGACUCCUACGGGAGGCAGCAGUGGGGAAUAUUGCACAAUGGGCGGAAGCCUGAUGCAGCAACGCCGCGUGCGGGAUGACGGCCUUCGGGUUGUAAACCGCUUUCGCCUGUGACGAAGCGUGAGUGACGGUAAUGGGUAAAGAAGCACCGGCUAACUACGUGCCAGCAGCCGCGGUGAUACGUAGGGUGCGAGCGUUGUCCGGAUUUAUUGGGCGUAAAGGGCUCGUAGGUGGUUGAUCGCGUCGGAAGUGUAAUCUUGGGGCUUAACCCUGAGCGUGCUUUCGAUACGGGUUGACUUGAGGAAGGUAGGGGAGAAUGGAAUUCCUGGUGGAGCGGUGGAAUGCGCAGAUAUCAGGAGGAACACCAGUGGCGAAGGCGGUUCUCUGGGCCUUUCCUGACGCUGAGGAGCGAAAGCGUGGGGAGCGAACAGGCUUAGAUACCCUGGUAGUCCACGCUGUAAACGGUGGGUACUAGGUGUGGGGUCCAUUCCACGGGUUCCGUGCCGUAGCUAACGCUUUAAGUACCCCGCCUGGGGAGUACGGCCGCAAGGCUAAAACUCAAAGGAAUUGACGGGGCCCCGCACAAGCGGCGGAGCAUGCGGAUUAAUUCGAUGCAACGCGUAGAACCUUACCUGGGUUUGACAUGGAUCGGGAGUGCUCAGAGAUGGGUGUGCCUCUUUUGGGGUCGGUUCACAGGUGGUGCAUGGCUGUCGUCAGCUCGUGUCGUGAGAUGUUGGGUUAAGUCCCGCAACGAGCGCAACCCUUGUUCACUGUUGCCAGCACGUUAUGGUGGGGACUCAGUGGAGACCGCCGGGGUCAACUCGGAGGAAGGUGGGGAUGACGGUCAAGUCAUCAUGCCCCUUAUGUCCAGGGCUUCACGCAUGCUACAAUGGCUGGUACAGAGAGUGGCGAGCCUGUGAGGGUGAGCGAAUCUCGGAAAGCCGGUCUCAGUUCGGAUUGGGGUCUGCAACUCGACCUCAUGAAGUCGGAGUCGCUAGUAAUCGCAGAUCAGCAACGCUGCGGUGAAUACGUUCCCGGGGCU